UAAGGAAUAUUGGACAAUGGAGGCAACUCUGAUCCAGCCAUGCCGCGUGAAGGAAUAAGGCCCUAUGGGUUGUAAACUUCUUUUAGACGGGACAAAACCCCUUUACGUGUAAAGGGUUGGUGGUACUGUCAGAAUAAGCAUCGGCUAACUUCGUGCCAGCAGCCGCGGUAAUACGAAGGAUGCAAGCGUUAUCCGGAAUUAUUGGGUUUAAAGGGUGCGUAGGCGGACUAAUAAGUCAGUGGUGAAAGCCUGCGGCUUAACUGCAGAAUUGCCAUUGAUACUGUUAGUCUUGAGUACAGUUGAGGUAGGCGGAAUGUGUCAUGUAGCGGUGAAAUGCUUAGAUAUGACACAGAACACCGAUUGCGAAGGCAGCUUGCUAAGCUGUAACUGACGCUGAGGCACGAAAGCGUGGGGAGCAAACA
RNAcentral lists this ribosomal RNA (422 nucleotides) under uncultured bacterium. RNAcentral's name for it is "bacterial SSU rRNA". It matches the Rfam family "Bacterial small subunit ribosomal RNA", at positions 355 to 774 of the family's 1533-position model. The record is from RNAcentral.